Molecule: ribosomal RNA, 394 nt
Filed under: uncultured bacterium
Lineage: Bacteria
Description: partial 16S ribosomal RNA
Rfam family: Bacterial small subunit ribosomal RNA
Source: RNAcentral
AUACGGAGGAUGCAAGCGUUAUCCGGAUUUAUUGGGUUUAAAGGGUGCGUAGGCGGAUGAUUAAGCGUGAGGUGAAAUGCCACUGCUCAACAGUGGAACUGCCUCGCGAACUGGUUGUCUUGAAUGCUCCUGCCGUGGGAGGAAUGUGUGGUGUAGCGGUGAAAUGCAUAGAGAUCACACAGAACACCGAUUGCGAAGGCAUCUCACGAAGGGGUGAUUGACGCUGAGGCACGGAAGCGUGGGGAUCAAACAGGAUUAGAUACCCUGGUAGUCCACGCAGUAAACGAUGAUAACUAACCGCUGGGUCGUAGUGAUUCAGUGGCCAAGCGAAAGCGAUAAGUUAUCCACCUGGGGAGUACGACCGCAAGGUUGAAACUCAAAGGAAUUGACGGGG